RNAcentral lists this long non-coding RNA (200 nucleotides) under Elaeis guineensis (African oil palm). RNAcentral describes it as "long non-coding RNA (EGUI_LNC015650)". Lineage: Eukaryota; Viridiplantae; Streptophyta; Magnoliopsida; Arecales; Arecaceae. The record is from RNAcentral.
UCUCUCAUUCCUUCUUUUUUUUUGCUCCUAAUCACUCCUCUUUCACAACUCCUCUUCCAAUUCUCUCUCCUACGCCUCCUCUUCUUCCUCUUCUCUUUCAUCUCCUUCUCAGAUCCAAAGAAUAUCUACAACUUCCUCGAGUAUGGGCCGAUGUCAGACUUCAACUUUAAGGGGGAGAUCAUCCUGAGCAGAGCUUGUUC